Molecule: non-coding RNA, 143 nt
Filed under: Bacillus haynesii
Lineage: Bacteria; Bacillati; Bacillota; Bacilli; Caryophanales; Bacillaceae
Description: 6S RNA
Rfam family: 6S / SsrS RNA
About the family: E. coli 6S RNA was the first non coding RNA to be sequenced, but its function was unknown until recently. It consists of 184 nucleotides that fold into an extended hairpin structure with a large single-stranded internal bulge.
Source: RNAcentral
AAAGUCCUGAUGUGUUUGUUGUACACCUAGUUUUGACCGAACAUUUUUUUACUUGGGAGUUCGAUGUUUCCAAAUGGAGNNGCCCACCUGCCGAGAGCGGGAUCAAAACGAAGGAAUACGACAACGGCACAAUCGGGACUUUU